RNAcentral lists this small RNA (29 nucleotides) under Bombyx mori (domestic silkworm). RNAcentral's name for it is "ovarian small RNA-24253". The record is from RNAcentral. Lineage: Eukaryota; Metazoa; Arthropoda; Insecta; Lepidoptera; Bombycidae.
UAUUGGAGCCUAGUCUCCUAUUGAGAGAA